GCCAGGUACAGUGGUGCAUGCCUGUAAUCCCAGCGGCUUGGGAGGCUGAGACAGGAAGAUUGUGAGUUCAAAGCCAGCCUCAGCAAAAGCGAGGCAUAAGCAACUCGGUGAGACCCUGUCUCUA
Molecule: small RNA, 124 nt
Filed under: Marmota monax (woodchuck)
Lineage: Eukaryota; Metazoa; Chordata; Mammalia; Rodentia; Sciuridae
Source: RNAcentral